AUUGAACGCUGGCGGCAGGCUUAACACAUGCAAGUCGAGCGGGGGAAGGUAGCUUGCUACCGGACCUAGCGGCGGACGGGUGAGUAAUGCUUAGGAAUCUGCCUAUUAGUGGGGGACAACAUCUCGAAAGGGAUGCUAAUACCGCAUACGUCCUAAAGGAGAAAGCAGGGGAUCUUCGGACCUUGCGCUCAUAGAUGAGCCUAAGUCGGAUUAGCUAGUUGGUGGGGUAAAGGCCUACCAAGGCGACGAUCUGUAGCGGGUCUGAGAGGAUGAUCCGCCACACUGGGACUGAGACCCGGCCCAGACUCCUACGGGAGGCAGCAGUGGGGAAUAUUGGACAAUGGGGGGAACCCUGAUCCAGCCAUGCCGCGUGUGUGAAGAUGGCCUUAUGGUUGUAAAGCACUUUAAGCGAGGAGGAGGCUACUCUAGUUAAUACCUAGGGAUAGUGGACGUUACUCGCAGAAUAAGCACCGGCUAACUCUGUGCCAGCCGCCGCCGUAA
RNAcentral lists this ribosomal RNA (501 nucleotides) under uncultured bacterium. Its description in RNAcentral is "partial 16S ribosomal RNA". It matches the Rfam family "Bacterial small subunit ribosomal RNA", at positions 30 to 523 of the family's 1533-position model. The record is from RNAcentral.